Molecule: unclassified non-coding RNA, 240 nt
Filed under: soil metagenome
Description: partial contains 5.8S ribosomal RNA, internal transcribed spacer 2, and large subunit ribosomal RNA
Source: RNAcentral
AACGCACGAGACCUGCGGACCUGCGGAAGGAUCAUUACCGAGUGCGGGCCCUCGCGGCCCAACCUCCCACCCUUGUCUCUAUACACCUGUUGCUUUGGCGGGCCCACCGGGGCCACCUGGUCGCCGGGGGACGUCGUCUCCGGGCCCGCGCCCGCCGAAGCGCUCUGUGAACCCUGAUGAAGAUGGGCUGUCUGAGUACUAUGAAAAUUGUCAAAACUUUCAACAACGGAUCUCUAGAUC